UGCGGGGGGGGCAAGCGUUGUUCGGAAUUACUGGGCGUAAAGGGCUCGUAGGCGGCCAACUAAGUCAUACGUGAAAUCCCUCGGCUUAACCGGGGAACUGCGUCUGAUACUGGAUGGCUUGAGUUCGGGAGAGGGAUGCGGAAUUCCAGGUGUAGCGGUGAAAUGCGUAGAUAUCUGGAGGAACACCGGUGGCGAAGGCGGCAUCCUGGACCGAUACUGACGCUGAGGAGCGAAAGCCAGGGGAGCAAACGGG
Molecule: ribosomal RNA, 253 nt
Filed under: uncultured bacterium
Lineage: Bacteria
Description: partial 16S ribosomal RNA
Rfam family: Bacterial small subunit ribosomal RNA
Source: RNAcentral